CACUGUAGAGUGACGUAGCAGUGGAAGUCAGUGGUUCCAGCUAAUGAAAACCACUUUUAACUGAAUGGCGCAUUAACCACAUCACCCCUCCACAGUUUGCCUCUGGCUUCCUGUUACGGUAGAGGUAGAGAGGAGUGUAGGACAGCUUCCUCACAGAGGAUUUUGCAGUUGAAUCUUUUCGGUGCAUCGGUGAAGGUAAAAGGGUACUCCGGUUUCCUCCCACAGUCCAAAGACAUGCAGAUGAAUGCAGAGGAAGACCUUGCCUGGUGGAAGAGAAAGAAAUAGUUGCAUGAUAUAGGGCCACUUUUAAAGACAGUAAACAUAGUCCAUUGUGGUGUACUGAACCUCAAGAAACUCAACUCAGGUUAUUUAUAACUGAACCGCAGAAACAGUGAAAUGCAACACAACUCUGCAAAGUGUUAAAAGCUUGGUCAGGUUUGGCUGAAGGCAUUUGGUUCAAGUUAAACAAACCCCAAUUGUUGAGACAAAUGACAUACAUAUUUUUAAACAUAUUUUCUUGUUUACACAAACACAAUGUAUAGUAUAAGACUACACAGUAUA
Anguilla anguilla (European eel) is the source of this 561-nucleotide long non-coding RNA. RefSeq lists it as uncharacterized. The transcript has 4 exons. The record is from RefSeq and is a predicted model, not a curated record. Lineage: Eukaryota; Metazoa; Chordata; Actinopteri; Anguilliformes; Anguillidae.